GCUGGGCGUAGUGGUGCAUACCUGUAACCCUAGUUACCUGGGUGGCUGAGGUAGGAGGAUCACAAGUUCAAAGGCAGCAUGGGCGUUUCGUGAGACCCCGCCUCAA
This 106-nucleotide small RNA is filed under the name Marmota monax (woodchuck). Lineage: Eukaryota; Metazoa; Chordata; Mammalia; Rodentia; Sciuridae. The record is from RNAcentral.